ACUAGAUGGAAACGGUUUUGGACAGAGAAGCAUGGCGGUCUUUGGUGUCGGAGGCCAAGAUCCACUUCGGGUCGCUGCACCAUAGCAGUAAGUAAGUAUUUAUAAACAUACUGUACCUUCUGUGUACCUAACCCAAAACGAGAUAUUUAAGAAAAAGUCCACCCGCCAUUCUGACGUCAGGAUUGCGGUUGGACCUAUGAAAUCUUGCAUUAUACCGCACUAAAAGUAUGCAGUUAUAUGGUACAGUCGCCAUCAGAUAUAUCGGAGUGGCCGAGGUGCUCAAAGAUCUCUAAACACGCACUCUAACCUCUUGACAGUAGAGGCAUGUUCAGAUAUUCGUGGGUACCUUGGCCGCUCCGAUAUAUAUGAUGGUGACUGUACCUUCAGUGUACCUCUGUAAAUAGAAAUAGAAACCGGUGUACCUCUCCCCAAAACAAGGUAGGCUAAGCUCAUGCACAAUAUAACUGCAUACUUUUAGUGCGGUAUAAUGCAAGAUUUCAUAGGUCCACCCGCCAUCCUGACGUCAAGUUGGCGGGUGGACCGUUUUGUAAAAUAUCUCGUUUUGGGGAAAGGUACACUGGUUUAUAUUAAAGGUACACUGAGGUACACAGAAGGUACAAUAUGUUUAUAAAUAUUUAUUUGAAAUUCGCUGAGGUCCACCGCCAUCCUGACGCUUACCAUAUAUCUAAGGACCGACCUUAGGGGCAAUAACGAUAGUGCUAGUUCAGUUGUUUCAUUCACAAAUUCGAGCCAAUCGUGCUGUCUAACGCAACUAGAUGCGAUCAAUCGCGUGCAUAAUGCGAACUCAUCAACCAAUCACGUUUUGGUACUUGUGGCGUUAGACUGCACGAUUGGCUCAAACUCGUGUGCGUAACACCGCUGUACUGGCCCCAUUCUUAUUGCCCGUAAGGCCCGUCCUCAGACAUAUUAUGUCAACGACACAGUCGCGAUUUUAAAAAAUCACAUCGCUUCUGCUACCAAAUUGUUGAGCAUAACGUUUUCCUAUCCAUAGGUUCCACCUGUCCAGUAGGAUCCACCAUCUCGAUCCACCAGAUUGAAGAGAUUGUUACUUAACUGAUGGAUCGAGAUAAUGAAACCUACUGAAUAGAGCGGGUCGAUUGGAUAUAACAAAGUACGCUUAUAUGAAACGCUACUCCGGUGUGCGAGUGAGACAGUCAGGCCAAUUUGAACUUGCAUUUGACAGAAAACUGUCUCCAUCAAACGCUACCAGUUCCAUUGCCGGCCUCUUCGCUGCCUUCUAUAGUGGUUCAAUCUUACCUUGCUUAUGAAUAAAAAGGGGCGUGCACACCGAUAUUAGAGUAAUAUUGGAAUCAUAUCAGUUAGUUGCGGGCGUCUCGCUCGCACAAAUACAUGCGUAUAAGUGCGAAAUGAACACACGAAUGACAGCUAACUGGUAUCAUUCCAAUAUUAUUCUAAAAUUGGUUUAAUGUCAGUUGCACUUUCGAAUUGGCCUACAUAGCGAUUUCCUUAGCCUGCACACCGGAUCGGCGUGUGGGCCGGCAUCUAGCUAAUGUAAAGCCACCUCAUUAGGUGCUUUUAGCCUUUUGAACGGCAAGAACACCUAAAGCUGUGGUGAGAGAAAGCCGCGCGUCCCUCAUGCACUGCACUAGCUUUACAGCUUGCAUUGCGACCAAUGUAUGCCGCUCACCGCCCCGCCGGUCGCGUGGGUCCAAUCCACGGCCCUAGAAGACGUACUUUACAUAUAAACAAGAGCACGCGAGCAUUUUGCGAGUUGUGUAUGUGUACUUGUGUUAUCUAGGCGCACAAACGGUUACAAUAACAAGAAGUGUACACCGCGUGUGCAGUCCAACACGGGAGCACGGGUGCGAUUCGAAAAUAACGCGCUAGCGACGCAUUACGACAUUGAUAUUUUACCCUUUGAACGCCAUAACAAAAACGUUACUCACAUGCCAAGGUCACGGGCGCAAGUGAGCUUGAAAGUGCAUGAGUAUUACAUUAGGGACUUUGACAGCGAUUAUAACAGCUAUAAUCAUUAAUGUGUUCAUGGCCCUUAAAUCAUGUCUAGUGACGGCGCCUUUAGGUGUUCUUGACGUUCAAAAGGUUAAGGGCGUUUGCUAGCUGGCGCUAGUGCACGGAGCGGGCAAACACGCGCAGGUGCCUUUGUAAGUAAAAUCAGUCGCACGCGUCCGCGCCAGUUAGCGUUGCUCAUACUGUAAGAGCUCGUUCCCACUAUGUCGGAUGUCGUGGCGAUUUUUAAUCGUACGUUCCACUGGCAGAACAUUUUAUAUGAAGCUGUUCACACUCGUCCGACAACGAUUUUGUGUCGGAUACGACAUAAAAUGUCGUGCGUUUUGCCAGCCCUUCCAGCCCGGAAAAAAAUCGUGUCGUGUCUCGCUCGCGUACGAGUGAAUAUAGCGCUGUUCACAUUUUGUCGGAUGUCGGAACGAUUUCGCCCGCGCCGCCCGCGGCACCCCCUCACACACCCGCGCGUCGCUGCCGCGUCGUUGCGAUCGCUUCUUAAUUCAGCUAUCAAAUUCUGAAAUAUUCAUACGGUAAAUCUUUCCCUGAGAAUUGGGUGUACCCAAUAUCUCCUUUUUUUAACUGCCUCUAAUCGUUUCUUUCGCAAAUAAUACAAAACCACAAACAUUUCGUCGACGUUCAUCUUGUACUAAGCCUCGCUACCCACUCGAAAAAUACACGCCAGCUGCGAUCGUGUACGACAGACGACUAGUGGGAACAGUACCGCCGACACCCGAUUGAAAUCCGGAUCCGACAUCCGACAUAGUGAGAACAGCGGCAACGACACACGAUUAAAAAUCGCCACGACAUCCGACAUAGUGGGAACGAGCUCUAAGCCGCACGCCCGCUCCAUGCACACGCGCGACGUUGCGGACGCCCUAUGCCCUAAACCUUACUUGAAAGUGUGAAGGUUACUCUGACAGCGGCUAUAUCAGCUAUAAUGUAUUUAUGACGCUUUGAGCAUAGCUAGUUACGACGCCUUAAGGUAUUCUUGGCGUUCAAAAGGUUAAGGGCGUUUGCUAGCUGGCGCGAGUGCACGGAGCGGGUGCACCUAGCGUCGCCAGUUACUGUUUUUCGUUAACCCGCUUCAGCUAGCAAACUAAUCGCAAAUGGUCCGAGAUUGGCGCAAUAACCAUGCAUUCCCUUAUCUGGAUCUGGAUGCACCUAUUCACCAAUGCUUGCUUUAAAGUAACUUGUCGACUCGUCCUGAUAAUAUUUGUGCGACCGUGAAGAAAAUCUAUGCCGUCACUUAUUUUUCAAUUUAUAUGAAAUAAAGAUGUUAAAUGUA
This is a long non-coding RNA of Cydia pomonella (codling moth), 3289 nucleotides long. RefSeq lists it as uncharacterized. The transcript is spliced from 2 exons. The record is from RefSeq and is a predicted model, not a curated record. NCBI's taxonomy places the organism in Eukaryota, Metazoa, Arthropoda, Insecta, Lepidoptera, Tortricidae.